Molecule: long non-coding RNA, 731 nt
Filed under: Homo sapiens (human)
Lineage: Eukaryota; Metazoa; Chordata; Mammalia; Primates; Hominidae
Description: non-protein coding lnc-CDX4-2:1
Source: RNAcentral
AUAGAUAAAUAUGAGUUGGUUCAGAAGGCCAAACUAAUGGAGCAAGCUGAGAAGUAUGAUGACAUGGCAGCCUGCAUGAAAUCUAUCACUGAGCAAGGAGAUGAAUUAUCCAAGGAGGAGAGGAAUCUUCUUUCAAUUACUUAUAAAAUUGUUGAAGGAGCCCAUAGGUCAUCUUGGAGGGUCUUUUAAGUAUUAAACAAAUGAGGGAAGGUGCUGAAAAAAAAAACAGCAAUUAGCUCAAAAGUACAGAGAUAAAAUUGAGACUGAGCUAAGACAUAUCUGCAAUAAAGCACUAUCUCUUUUGGAAAUGUACUUGAUCCCCAAUGCUUCACAGAGAGCAAAGUCUUCUAUUUGAAAAUAAAAGGACACUACUAUUUUUUUGUAGCUGAGGUUUCUGCUGGUGAUGACAAGAAAGAGAUUGUGGAUCAGUCACAACAAGCAUACAGAGAAGCUUUUGAAAUUAGCAAAAAGGAAAUGCAACCAACAUAUCCUACCAGAUUGGGUCUGGCCUUUAAUUUUUCUGUAUUCCAUUAUGAGAUUCUAAACUCCCCAGAUAAAGCCUGCUCUCUUACAAGGACAGCUUUUGAUAAAGCCAUUGCUGAAUUUGACACAUUUAGCACAGAGCCAUACAAAGACAGCACAGUAGUUUUGAAACUACUGAGAAAUGGCUUGACAUUGCAGACAUCAGAUACCCAAGGAGAUGAAGCUGAAGCAAGAGAAGGAGGAGAAAA